UGGGGAAUUUUCCGCAAUGGGCGAAAGCCUGACGGAGCAAGACCGCGUGGGGGAAGAAGGCUCUUGGGUUGUAAACCCCUUUUCUCUGGGAAGAAAGUUGUGAAAGCAACCUGACGGUACCAGAGGAAUCAGCAUCGGCUAACUCCGUGCCAGCAGCCGCGGUAAGACGGAGGAUGCAAGCGUUAUCCGGAAUGAUUGGGCGUAAAGCGUCCGCAGGUGGCAGUUCAAGUCUGCUGUCAAAGACCGGGGCUUAACUUCGGAAAGGCAGUGGAAACUGAACAGCUAGAGUAUGGUAGGGGCAGAGGGAAUUCCUGGUGUAGCGGUGAAAUGCGUAGAGAUCAGGAAGAACAUCGGUGGCGAAGGCGCUCUGCUGGACCAUAACUGA
RNAcentral lists this ribosomal RNA (385 nucleotides) under uncultured bacterium. RNAcentral's name for it is "bacterial SSU rRNA". It matches the Rfam family "Bacterial small subunit ribosomal RNA", at positions 355 to 743 of the family's 1533-position model. The record is from RNAcentral.